GGGGUAACUGGAAUUGCAUCCUUAAUUUUGAAUGACACAUGUUUUAGUAAGGGGAAUGUGUUCUGUCCAUAAUAGAAACUGAGGUGAAUUAGGUAUUGUCACAUGUGGCAAUCAAAUCUGCAAUCAAGACAAUUGCUUAUGUGGCAGAUGAUAAACAGCGCCAAGAGUGUCGCGACGUUGAUGAGUGGUGCACUCGGACUUGUGGGUCUUGCAGGUUCACCUGCUUAAGUCCAGCGGGCUUUGCAGGUUAGGUCGCUUGAACCUGUGUUAUACAUGCAGGUGUCUGCAGGGGCCUGCUAAGACUGUUUUUUGCAGGUAGCUAGGCCUAGCAGGUAGCAGGCAAACCUGCGUCCACUUGCAUCCCUACAUACGGGCAGGUCACAUACGUGGCCAUGCACCGACCGAGUGCACGUUGCAGGUGGUGCACACGUCAAUGCAGCUGGCUUACAGUCAGGCGGUGAGCGACCUCACAUCUGAGUAGGGGGUGCGUGUGACAGGAUGGUAAAGGCAAUAAAUUGUCAGCACAGCUUCAACAAAUUUGUAGGUCAAUAUCUAAACUUAUGCAUAUCUUUCCUUCCAGAAAUGUUGCAUCCACAUUUCCCUCAAAAAGCAGAUGCCUAUAUAUAACUAGCCAGCGCCAGCCUGAAAGGUGUGCCCAAACUCAUAUCAAUGGAACAACUGUGAAAAAUUGUAUUCCCUCUUUCAGGAACCACAAUAUUAGCAGAAAUGGGAGGCAUAUGGAACAGAGGUGAGACUUCAUUUGCAUUCCAAUCAGUUAAUGUUUGGAGGGUAGCACUCCAUUUCUAUAGCACAACCUUCAAGAUCCAUCUGUAGCAGACAUUCUCGAUGUUGCCAGGUAGUGUCAUAAUGUGUGAGCACCAUGCAGUUGUUUAUCAACGGUUUCUAUGCUGUAAUAUGUAUAGCUGUACAUUUCCCCUAAAGCAUACCAGAAAACAAAUGUAUCUCAAAUCCUAAGAUAAAGCUGGUUUUAAACUGACAGUCCACUACUACAAAUUUGGUCUUCACUGCCAGCUUUAUCACUGUCGGAUUUGCCGACAGUGAUAACCCGUCACGACACAUCACUGUCAGUUUUUGCCUUAAACUGACAGUGAUAGAUCCAACCGAUAGUGAUAUUCGGAUCUUCACUAUCUGUUCACAUUACUGUC
Molecule: long non-coding RNA, 1166 nt
Filed under: Sorghum bicolor (sorghum)
Lineage: Eukaryota; Viridiplantae; Streptophyta; Magnoliopsida; Poales; Poaceae
Description: long non-coding RNA (SBIC_LNC014885)
Source: RNAcentral